AACGAACGCUGGCGGCGUGCCUAACACAUGCAAGUCGAGCGAAGGAAAAGGGGGUAACUCCCUGAGUACAGCGGCGCACGGGUGAGUAACACGUAGGUAAUCUACCCUCGAGCCCGGAAUAACCUACCGAAAGGUGGGCUAAUACCGGAUAUGACCACGGGAGCUUCGGCUUCUGCGGUAGAAAGGUGGCCUCUGCUUGCAAGCUACUACUUGAGGAUGAGCCUGCGU
RNAcentral lists this ribosomal RNA (228 nucleotides) under uncultured bacterium. RNAcentral describes it as "partial 16S ribosomal RNA". It matches the Rfam family "Bacterial small subunit ribosomal RNA", at positions 29 to 236 of the family's 1533-position model. The record is from RNAcentral.